Molecule: long non-coding RNA, 1383 nt
Organism: Chrysemys picta bellii (western painted turtle)
Lineage: Eukaryota; Metazoa; Chordata; Testudines; Emydidae
Source: RefSeq, a predicted model, not a curated record
UCCCCCACCCCCACUCAACCAGCAUACAGCUUGUUGUUUGUUUGGCAUUUUACUUUCCCAUUGAUCAUCAGCAGGUUUUUCUGGAAAUCUUUCUCUUUCUCCGUCUCCAUUUUUAUCAUCUCAAUAAUGCUCCAUGUGUACACUUGUGUCAACUAGUGCCUCUUUAUAAGGAAUGAAAACAUGGUUUUAUAUUCCUGAAUAAAUAAACAACCAUGGAACAGGCAGAAAAAGGCGAGAGAGGAAGAAAGAGAGAGAGUGCACAUGAUCACUUACAGAGCAGCAGUACAAGGGCUUCUCACUGCUGGCUUCAGCUAUUUUGAAAUAUUUGGGGCCAAAGAAGGAGCAAAUCUCUAGAGAAAAGAAGGCUAUUAACAUCACCAAUAGUUCACAAAAUAGCUUUGUUUCUUGAAAGACACAGACACGGCGGGAGGUGGUUAGUGCAGCUAUACUAGGGCUGUACUACUUUGAAAUAAUGGACCCUAGGGGCCUGAGGCUACAAACCAUUCUUCAUGUGACAAGGAACCACUCACACGUGUAAAGAUGACUUGUGUGAGUAAAGGAUUGCGGAUUGGGCCCUAAGGUUCUUAUUGGGAGGCCACUGAAAUCAAUGGAAAAAUGGAAUGAUUUCUCUGGGUUUUGGAUCAGACUCUGACAAAAGGGAUUUUGCUAGGUUUGCAGAUACUGCAUAUAAUUAUAAUAGCAAAUCAGCCAGGGAGCACUUCUACUUAUUAUUAGACCGGGCUGAACUAGUUGAUGGAAACAAUUUAUUGAACAAAUGUAUUCCUUUAUUUUGUUCACAAAAUGUCUCCCAAAGAGCCCAUGGGUCAGAUUCUUCGCUGGGCUGCAUUUACAGCAGCGCAAUUGAGGAGGGGAGAGAAGAUGAAGGAAAGGUGGUGGUAAGCCACAAAGCAGGCAGAGCAGGUGGUUCUAAAUGCAAAGCAGGGGGAGUCAGAAUUUCGAACAAUUUUUAGGCAUGUAGAUGAGGCAAUGUAAGGGACUCUUUGUACUGAGUAGUUAGUUAGUUGAUAUUCAGAAUUCACUAUUCAAGUUUUGUGACUAAUCAACUAAGGCUUUGUCUCCAUUAAGGAAGUUUGCACCAGUGUAACUCAACAAUGUUAAUGUCCUUAAUGCACUUUGUUACAAGAGUGCACUAUUUCUUUAUAUGUAGAUGGCGUUCAAAUAUAUGUCACAUCGUUUAUGGGCUUUGUAGGCACUGCAAAUGGCUUAUUGUGUGCAGCCGUUUACAUCAGCUCUUAACAUAGAUCAGGCUUGAGUUACGUGACAUUGUUUCUAUUCCCUGAUCAAAUGACAUAACUUCUUAUAAUUAUUUGCCCUUACCCAAACUUAAUAUCAUUUCUUCAUUAAAGCACCAUCAACCUUGAA